UAUGAACGCUGGCGGCGUGCUUAACACAUGCAAGUCGAACGGAAAGGCCCAAGCUUGCUUGGGUACUCGAGUGGCGAACGGGUGAGUAACACGUGGGUGAUCUGCCCUGCACUUCGGGAUAAGCCUGGGAAACUGGGUCUAAUACCGGAUAGGACCACUUCUUGGAUGUUGUGGUGGAAAGUUUUUUCGGUGUGGGAUGAGCUCGCGGCCUAUCAGCUUGUUGGUGGGGUAAUGGCCUACCAAGGCGUCGACGGGUAGCCGGCCUGAGAGGGUGUACGGCCACAUUGGGACUGAGAUACGGCCCAGACUCCUACGGGAGGCAGCAGUGGGGAAUAUUGCACAAUGGGCGCAAGCCUGAUGCAGCGACGCCGCGUGGGGGAUGACGGCCUUCGGGUUGUAAACUCCUUUCGCUAGGGACGAAGCGUUUUGUGACGGUACCUGGAGAAGAAGCACCGGCUAACUACGUG
Molecule: ribosomal RNA, 467 nt
Filed under: uncultured bacterium
Lineage: Bacteria
Description: partial 16S ribosomal RNA
Rfam family: Bacterial small subunit ribosomal RNA
Source: RNAcentral